Molecule: ribosomal RNA, 252 nt
Filed under: uncultured bacterium
Lineage: Bacteria
Description: partial 16S ribosomal RNA
Rfam family: Bacterial small subunit ribosomal RNA
Source: RNAcentral
UACGUAGGGUGCGAGCGUUGUCCGGAAUUAUUGGGCGUAAAGGGCUCGUAGGCGGUUUGUCGCGUCGGGAGUGAAAUCCACUGGCUUAACUGGUGGCUUGCUUUCGAUACGGGCAGACUGGAGGUAUGCAGGGGAGAACGGAAUUCCUGGUGUAGCGGUGAAAUGCGCAGAUAUCAGGAGGAACACCGGUGGCGAAGGCGGUUCUCUGGGCAUGUCCUGACGCUGAGGAGCGAAAGCGUGGGAGCAAACAGG